GAUGAACGCUAGCUACAGGCUUAACACAUGCAAGUCGAGGGGAAACGAUAUUGGAAGCUUGCUUCCGAUAGGCGUCGACCGGCGCACGGGUGAGUAACGCGUAUCCAACCUGCCCAUCACUUGGGGAUAACCUUGCGAAAGUAAGACUAAUACCCAAUGACGUCUCUAGAAGACAUCUGAAGGAGAUUAAAGAUUUAUCGGUGAUGGAUGGGGAUGCGUCUGAUUAGCUUGUUGGCGGGGGUAACGGCCCACCAAGGCGACGAUCAGUAGGGGUUCUGAGAGGAAGGUCCCCCACAUUGGAACUGAGACACGGUCCAAACUCCUACGGGAGGCAGCAGUGAGGAAUAUUGGUCAAUGGACGAGAGUCUGAACCAGCCAAGUAGCGUGCAGGAUGACGGCCCUAUGGGUUGUAAACUUCUUUAUAUGGGAAUAAAGUAUUCCACGUGUGGGAUUUUGUAUGUACCAUAUGAAUAAGGAUCGGCUAAUUCCGUGCCAGCAGCCG
This 502-nucleotide ribosomal RNA is filed under the name uncultured bacterium. RNAcentral's name for it is "bacterial SSU rRNA". It matches the Rfam family "Bacterial small subunit ribosomal RNA", at positions 28 to 517 of the family's 1533-position model. The record is from RNAcentral.